Molecule: ribosomal RNA, 513 nt
Filed under: uncultured Streptococcus sp.
Lineage: Bacteria; Bacillati; Bacillota; Bacilli; Lactobacillales; Streptococcaceae
Description: bacterial SSU rRNA
Rfam family: Bacterial small subunit ribosomal RNA
Source: RNAcentral
CGGUAACGCUGGCGGGCGGUAGCCUAAUACACUAGGCAAAGUAGAAGACGUGUAAGGACGGUAGGCUUGCUUCUCUGGAGUGAGUUGCGAACGGGUAGAGUAACGCGUAGGUAACCUGCCUCGGUAGCGGGGGAGUAACUAAUUGGUAAACGAUAGCUAGUACCGCAUAAGAGUAGAUGUUGCAUGACAUUUGCUUAAAAGGUGCAAUUGCAUCACUACCAGAUGGACCUGCGUUGUAUUAGCUAGUUGGUGGGGUAACGGCUCACCAAGGCGACGAUACAUAGCCGACCUGAGAGGGUGAUCGGCCACACUGGGACUGAGACACGGCCCAGACUCCUGCGGGAGGCAGCAGUAGGGAAUCUUCGGCAAUGGACGGAAGUCUGACCGAGCAACGCCGCGUGAGUGAAGAAGGUUUUCGGAUCGUAAAGCUCUGUUGUAAGAGAAGAACGAGUGUGAGAGUGGAAAGUUCACACUGUGACGGUAUCUUACCAGAAAGGGACGGCUAACUACGUG